GGCCUCCUGGUACUUAUAACAGGCUGUGUUCUUACUCAAGACUGUAUAGAAGAGGAGGCAAAAUAAACCUACCCCAUACACACCUCAGCCCCAGGCCUGGUGCCUGGACCUUAUUGUGAAUGCAGACACAUGG
This 133-nucleotide small nucleolar RNA is filed under the name Castor canadensis (American beaver). RNAcentral's name for it is "Small nucleolar RNA SNORA51 (ENSCCNG00000008255.1)". It matches the Rfam family "Small nucleolar RNA SNORA51". From Rfam's summary of the family: ACA51 is a member of the H/ACA class of snoRNA that guide the sites of modification of uridines to pseudouridines. The record is from Rfam by way of RNAcentral. Lineage: Eukaryota; Metazoa; Chordata; Mammalia; Rodentia; Castoridae.